AGUUCUGAAUCAACUCGAAGAAUAUGCUCAUGCCUAUACGAAGUCCACAAGCUCCACGGAAAUAAUGUCUAAUCUUCUUCUUCUUUCUCCUCUAUUCUUUACCUCUCUUAUCUCUCUCUCAUCUCUCCAAUCCCCCAAUCUAGUUUCUCUCUCUCUUCUCUCUAGUUCCUCUCGUUCUCCUUUUCUCUCACUCAAUUAUCUCAAAUUCC
RNAcentral lists this long non-coding RNA (209 nucleotides) under Ananas comosus (pineapple). Its description in RNAcentral is "long non-coding RNA (ACOM_LNC039097)". The record is from RNAcentral. Lineage: Eukaryota; Viridiplantae; Streptophyta; Magnoliopsida; Poales; Bromeliaceae.